Molecule: long non-coding RNA, 438 nt
Filed under: Coffea arabica (coffee)
Lineage: Eukaryota; Viridiplantae; Streptophyta; Magnoliopsida; Gentianales; Rubiaceae
Description: long non-coding RNA (CARA_LNC001337)
Source: RNAcentral
AAAAACAAAAAGCAUGAAACAGAACAAUGGAGGCAAUACCUUAAAAAAGCAGAACAAUGGAGGCAAUACCUUAAAAAAGCAGAACAAAAUCAGAAAUGCUUACAUCAUGGCCAUGGAUAUCUGUUUGAAAUCAUGUUUCUUUUUUUUGUGGGAAAUGGAGAAGAAUUGCCCAAAAAUUUUCUAAAAUUUAAGCGAGAAUCCAGGAAACUUUAGCUUUGCAGUUGAUCGGAGAAGGAGAGAGAGGUGAUUGACAACUUCUUUAUAGAGGAGAGGGUAUAAGUGGGCUGGAGUUGCGGCCUGGAGGGAUAUGAGAGAAUUUUUUGUUGGAAUUCUGCCUAGCUGGAGCUGCGGUUUAGGGUUGAAAGGAAACAAAGGAAAAAGGAGGAAGAAAUGGAGAGUAGGGAGAAGAAAGAAAGCGGCUGAGGUUUAGGGUUGAAA